Molecule: ribosomal RNA, 300 nt
Filed under: uncultured Lactobacillus sp.
Lineage: Bacteria; Bacillati; Bacillota; Bacilli; Lactobacillales; Lactobacillaceae
Description: bacterial SSU rRNA
Rfam family: Bacterial small subunit ribosomal RNA (bases 58-300)
Source: RNAcentral
GGAGAACGAGGGGCAGGUGGCGGCGUUAAAAGGGAGGUUGCGUGCGUGGUCGGUAUGUAUUGGGGGUAAAGCGAGGGCAGGGGGGUUGUUAAGUCUGAGGUAAAAGGCUUGGGCGAAAACAUAGUAGGCGUUGGAAACUGUCAAACUUGAGUGCAGAAGGGGGGAGUGGAAUUCCAUGUGUAGCGGUGAAAUGCGUAGAUAUAUGGAGGAACACCGGUGGCGAAAGCGGCUCUCUGGUCUGUAACUGACGCUGAGGCUCGAAAGCGUGGGGAGCAAACAGGAUUAGAUACCCGGGUAGUC